CGUAUACGUCACAAUUUGUGAAUGUGUUUGUGUUUAAUGGCGAAUUGUGAAUAGUACUACAGAUUUUUGUGAAAUAUCUCUUGAAACUUGGAAAUUACUGAGAUUUGUAGUGUGAAUUGUACAUAUUCGAUUUUACAAAAUGCGGUCAGUAGUGGAAAUAGGGGCUACAGUCCCUGCCUUUUUGGGAAAACUGUGGAAAUUGGUCAAUGAUUCUGAAACCAAUAAUUUGAUUUCUUGGAGUCCUGGAGGGAAAACAUUUGUGAUAAAGAACCAAGCAGAUUUUGCAAGAGAACUAUUACCUUUAUAUUAUAAACACAACAAUAUGGCAAGCUUUAUUCGGCAGUUGAACAUGUAUGGCUUUCACAAGAUCACUUCAGUUGAAAAUGGUGGUUUAAGAUAUGAGAAAGAUGAAAUUGAAUUUUCCCAUCCAUGUUUUAUGAGAGGACAUGCCUAUCUAUUGGAGCACAUUAAAAGGAAGAUUGCUAAUCCAAAAUCAAUUGUAACAAGUAACGAAAGUGGUGAGAAAAUUCUGUUGAAACCCGAGUUGAUGAAUAAAGUACUAGCAGAUGUGAAGCAGAUGAAAGGUAAACAGGAAAGUCUUGACGCUAAGUUUAGCGCCAUGAAGCAAGAGAAUGAGGCUCUGUGGAGGGAAGUCGCCAUCCUGCGGCAGAAGCACAUCAAACAGCAGCAGAUUGUUAAUAAUCUCAUCCAAUUCUUGAUGUCUUUGGUACAACCAGCAAGGCCUCCAAAUCCUAAUGUCAACAAUGUUGGAGUGAAGAGGCCAUACCAGUUGAUGAUUAACAAUGCAGCUCAUAAUGCAGGAGACCAAUAUCCAGGCAGAUUGAAGAAUGUAAAAUUGGACAAAGAUCUGUUGGAAGAAUUAAAUGAGGAUAACUUAGAGGAUGGACCUACUAUCCAUGAAUUGGCUCAUGAUGACCUGAUGCACAAUGAAGUAUCUCAAGAUUCGGUCAAUGCUGCAACUUUCAUGAACAAUAUAUCUCCAGGAUCAAAUUCUGGAGCUGGUCAUAGUCCUGUUGAUCCCUCAUCAUCCCUACAGUACCAUGUUACCAUGGAGGAUGGAGAUGAUGCAGAAGCAGAUGGCACGAGACAGAAAUAUCCCGUUUACUCAGCCAAUAAUAAUGGUUUGUUGCGCACUAUUGAGGUAGAGGUACCAAUGGUCGCCUCACCUUCUCCUAACAUAGCAAUGCCUACGUCGCCGAUUGAUCAGCCGGUGAUCACGAAUGUGGUCUCCAUGUCUCCUGGACCCUCGAGAUCUAAGGCGCGGAACAAUGUCAACAAAGUACCACAAGGUGUAAGAAAUCUGCUAUCACCAAGCAACUUUACGCCAUCAGCUGAUCUGAGGCUUCCAGCUGAAAUAUUCGCUAGCGAUGACUCAGUGAGCGAUGCUGGAGUGGCGGCUUCCGACGACACACUGCUGCAGGAUGUCCUAGGCUCUGAAGCUCUUUUGGCUGCCACAAAGGACAAAAUGCUUGGUGGUAUCAAUAUAAAGUUGGAGAAACCUAACCCAAGCAACAAGUCAAAGAAAUCAAAGAAAACACAGAAAGACAAUACAACCAAUCUGAACCUGGAGGACAUUAAGACCGAACUUCAGGAUGAUCUGGAUUGGAACAAUAUGACUUUGGCCACAGUUAACAACAAUCCUGGCGUCAAUAGAUACCCGUCAGUGAAUAGGAGUAACAUCGGCAAAAAUCGAGAGGAAUACUCUUCUCUAUUUGGAACUAAUAACAACAAGGGAGACAUCGAUGAUCACUUAGACUCAAUGCAAACAGACCUUGACUCAUUGAGGGAGAUGCUUCGGAGCGAUGCGUAUGCUCUCGACACGAAUACUUUAAUGGGCACUGACGAACCAGCGAUUGGACUUUCCAUGAUGUCUCACAUUCCUUCUCGACAACAUCCAUCACACGAUUAUCUAUUUGGAUCUGAGGAUCCCUUCUAUGGGCUCUCUUACAAUCCUGUAGAUGAGAAAACAGCGAAGACAGCUAACAAUGAUACAACCAAACAGUAUCCGAUGCUUGAUUUUGAUUGGCUGAUGUGUAGCAGCGAUGCAUCGCCCGCGAAGUAGUAGUGGCGUCAUCGACUUUCAAGACAUUGCAACGCUGUCUGCAUCAUGUCAACAUUAUAUUCCUCUGAAGGGAAUCAGCUUAUCUCGUAUACAGGGAAUAUUCCAGACUUUGACGAUAUAAGCAUGCCAGAGUUGGAGGCGGAGGGGGCGGACACGUGCCCGUCGCCGCUGCCCGGGGGCUCCGAGCUCAACACCCCGCUGG
This 2285-nucleotide unclassified non-coding RNA is filed under the name Pectinophora gossypiella (pink bollworm). RNAcentral describes it as "heat shock factor protein". Lineage: Eukaryota; Metazoa; Arthropoda; Insecta; Lepidoptera; Gelechiidae. The record is from RNAcentral.